CUCUGCAUUUCCCUCCUUUCCUGGGUGAGGCUGAUGCUGCUGGCCUGGGGUCCCGGCAGCCAAUUUCUCAUUGGUCUCUGGCCUCCACCCUUGGUCCUUGUCCAUCUGUCCUCCUGACGUGUGGUCUGGGGUGUGCAUCCUUCCAGGGGCUGCCCUGGGAGCCCCCUGCUGCCUCUCCAGCCUCGACCUGCACCCUUGUGUGCUACUCUCUGCCCCAGCCAGGCUGGCAUUUUGCAGCCAUGCAGCCUGGCUCUGUGUCCUGCUCUCUGCCCCAGCCAGACUGGCUUUUUGCAGCCAGGCAGCUCGGUUGUGUGUGCUGCCUGCUCAGCUGCAGUGCCUGGCGCUAACCCUAGAAGUCCCUGUCCCUGACCUGAGCGAGGAGCCAGUGGGAAGCUCCCUGCUGCACCAGCUGUGCAGCUGCACGGAGGCCUUCUUCCUGGGCCUGCGCGUCAAGUGCCUGCCCUCGGUGGCGGCCGCGUCCAUCUGCUGCUCCUCGCGGCCCAGCCGGGACUCUGACAGGCUCCAGCUCCACACAGACGGCAUCCUGUCCUUCUUGAAGAACAACAAGCCGGGGGACGCGCUGUGUGUGCUGGGCCUCACGCUGUCCGACCUGUACCCCCACGAGGCCUGGAGCUUCACCUUCAGCAAGUUCCUUCCAGGGCACGAAGUGGGUGUCUGCAGCUUUGCCCGGUUCUCGGGGGAAUUCCCGAAGUCGGGGCCCAGCGCCCCUGAUCCGGCCCUGGUAGAGGCAGCAGCAGACGGCCCCCAGGCCCCCCUGCA
This 780-nucleotide small RNA is filed under the name Pongo abelii (Sumatran orangutan). RNAcentral's name for it is "processed transcript". The record is from RNAcentral. Lineage: Eukaryota; Metazoa; Chordata; Mammalia; Primates; Hominidae.